RNAcentral lists this ribosomal RNA (755 nucleotides) under Bacillus licheniformis. RNAcentral's name for it is "bacterial SSU rRNA". It matches the Rfam family "Bacterial small subunit ribosomal RNA", at positions 79 to 822 of the family's 1533-position model. The record is from RNAcentral. Lineage: Bacteria; Bacillati; Bacillota; Bacilli; Caryophanales; Bacillaceae.
UUGCUCCCUGAUGUCAGCGGCGGACGGGUGAGUACACGUGGGUACCUGCCUGUAAGACUGGGAUAACUCCGGGAACCGGGGCUAAUACCGGAUGCUUGAUUGAACCGCAUGGUUCAAUUAUAAAAGGUGGCUUUUAGCUACCACUUACAGAUGGACCCGCGGCGCAUUAGCUAGUUGGUGAGGUAACGGCUCACCAAGGCAACGAUGCGUAGCCGACCUGAGAGGGUGAUCGGCCACACUGGGACUGAGACACGGCCCAGACUCCUACGGGAGGCAGCAGUAGGGAAUCUUCCGCAAUGGACGAAAGUCUGACGGAGCAACGCCGCGUGAGUGAUGAAGGUUUUCGGAUCGUAAAACUCUGUUGUUAGGGAAGAACAAGUACCGUUCGAAUAGGGCGGUACCUUGACGGUACCUAACCAGAAAGCCACGGCUAACUACGUGCCAGCAGCCGCGGUAAUACGUAGGUGGCAAGCGUUGUCCGGAAUUAUUGGGCGUAAAGCGCGCGCAGGCGGUUUCUUAAGUCUGAUGUGAAAGCCCCCGGCUCAACCGGGGAGGGUCAUUGGAAACUGGGGAACUUGAGUGCAGAAGAGAAGAGUGGAAUUCCACGUGUAGCGGUGAAAUGCGUAGAGAUGUGGAGGAACACCAGUGGCGAAGGCGACUCUCUGGUCUGUAACUGACGCUGAGGCGCGAAAGCGUGGGGAGCGAACAGGAUUAGAUACCUGGUAGUCCACGCCGUAAACGAUGAGUGCUAAGUG